This 337-nucleotide ribosomal RNA is filed under the name uncultured bacterium. RNAcentral describes it as "bacterial SSU rRNA". It matches the Rfam family "Bacterial small subunit ribosomal RNA", at positions 1153 to 1498 of the family's 1533-position model. The record is from RNAcentral.
CGGUGCAAACCGUGAGGAAGGUGGGGAUGACGUCAAAUCAUCACGGCCCUUACGCCUUGGGCUACACACGUGCUACAAUGGUAUAUACAAUGAGCAGCCAUCUGGUGACAGAGCGCUAAUCUAAAAAGUAUAUCACAGUUCGAAUCGGAGUCUGCAACUCGACUCUGUGAAGCUGGAAUCGCUAGUAAUCGCACAUCAGCCAUGGUGCGGUGAAUACGUUCCCGGGCCUUGUACACACCGCCCGUCAAGCCAUGGAAGCUGGGAGUGCCUGAAGUCCGUAGCCGAAAGGAGCGGCCUAGGGUAAAACUAGUAACUGGGGCUAAGUCGUAACAAGGUA